GAUGAAGAACGCAGCGAAAUGCGAUACGUAAUGUGAAUUGCAGAAUUCAGUGAAUCAUCGAGUCUUUGAACGCACAUUGCGCCCUCUGGUAUUCCGGAGGGCAUGCCUGUCCGAGCGUCAUUGCUGCCCUCAAGCACGGCUUGUGUGUUGGGCCCCGCCCCCCGAUCCCGGGGGGCGGGCCCGAAAGGCAGCGGCGGCACCGCGUCCGGUCCUCGAGCGUAUGGGGCUUUGUCACCCGCUCUGUAGGCCCGGCCGGCGCCUGCCGAUCAACCAAACUUUUUUCCAGGUUGGCCUCGGAUCAGGUAGGGAUACCCGCUGAACUUAAGCAUAUCAAUAAGCGGAGGA
This 345-nucleotide unclassified non-coding RNA is filed under the name soil metagenome. Its description in RNAcentral is "partial contains 5.8S ribosomal RNA, internal transcribed spacer 2, and large subunit ribosomal RNA". The stretch from base 1 to 120 matches the Rfam family "5.8S ribosomal RNA", at positions 35 to 154 of the family's 154-position model. The record is from RNAcentral.